CUCUACAGUCCUUAGGCCUGGAAGAGACCACAAACUAUUAUUAUUAUUUGUCCUUCCUCACCUACUGACAUCAAUUGGAACAAAGCCAAUUACAGUACUUGGACCCCAAUAUAUCAAUGAUUCUCUCAGUAGGCUACAGGGUAUGUGGUCACUCAUCAUGCAGCCUUUUUUAAUGGCAUAUGCUAAAGCACUCACUAUAUGCCAGGCACUGUACUAAACACUGAAGGAGAUACAAGCUAAUCAAUGUGGACACAGUCUAUAUCCACGAGAGAUUCUCAAUCUUAAUUCCCAUUUUACAGGUGAGGAAACUGAAGCACAAAGAAGUGACUUUCCCACGAUCACACAGCAGACCACUUGGAGUGAUAUCAUCUAAUUGGCUUUCUCAGAUUUCUAAUGUCAAAAUAUUAUCACAAGCAUGGAAGCCCACCAACACCAAAAACAAAAGUGUUUGCUGCAUUAUGUACGCUUUGAACUCCAGAAGGAA
This 484-nucleotide long non-coding RNA is filed under the name Ornithorhynchus anatinus (platypus). RNAcentral describes it as "lncRNA (ENSOANG00000041706.1)". The record is from RNAcentral. Lineage: Eukaryota; Metazoa; Chordata; Mammalia; Monotremata; Ornithorhynchidae.